AGGACGAACGCUGGCGGCGUGCUUAACACAUGCAAGUCGAGCGGAAAGGCCCUUCGGGGUACUCGAGCGGCGAACGGGUGAGUAACACGUGAGCAACCUGCCCUUAGCUUCGGGAUAGCUCCGGGAAACCGGAAUUAAUACCGAAUAUGACUUUGGCUGACAUCAGCAGAAGUGGAAAGUUUUUCGGCUAGGGAUGGACUCGCGGCCUAUCAGCUAGUUGGUGGGGUAACGGCCCACCAAGGCGACGACGGGUA
RNAcentral lists this ribosomal RNA (254 nucleotides) under uncultured bacterium. RNAcentral describes it as "partial small subunit ribosomal RNA". It matches the Rfam family "Bacterial small subunit ribosomal RNA", at positions 26 to 285 of the family's 1533-position model. The record is from RNAcentral.